UACAGAGGUGGCAAGCGUUGUUCGGAAUUACUGGGCGUAAAGGGCGCGUAGGCGGUCUUCUAAGUCUUGUGUGAAAUCCCUCGGCUCAACUGAGGAACUGCACGGGAUACUGGAAGACUUGAGUUCGGGAGAGGGAAGCGGAAUUCCGGGUGUAGCGGUGAAAUGCGUAGAUAUCCGGAGGAACACCGGUGGCGAAGGCGGCUUCCUGGACCAACACUGACACUGAUGAGCGAAAGCCAGGGGAGCAAACGGG
RNAcentral lists this ribosomal RNA (253 nucleotides) under uncultured bacterium. RNAcentral describes it as "partial 16S ribosomal RNA". It matches the Rfam family "Bacterial small subunit ribosomal RNA", at positions 524 to 776 of the family's 1533-position model. The record is from RNAcentral.